AGGCACAAGCAGCUGAAUGGCCAGGAAGGAUAAUCUGGAAACAGGUAUUCAGUUUAUAAGAGCCCUUAUUUUCAGCAAUGGAGAUCCCAGUUCCAUUAAAUAAGCUUUGAAAAAUAAUCAUAAAACAUAUACAAAUAAUUACCAUAUGAAAAAUUUUCCCAUUGGGUUCUAGAUAUUCUACUGGUAAUUUAAGUGAUGUUGAUAGAAUUAACAAAAUUGAGGUUCACAACUUUAAAAUGAUGCAUGAAUUGUAUUUCUCUUUAAUAGUCACACUCUAGAAAACAGUAUAUUUCACUUAAAAUUUAUAAUUGGUUCUUUUUCUUUUAAGCUAUAUGAAUGGGAUGGAGGAUAAUACCAUCAAUAUGACAGUAUUCAGGCUAGAUAAUUUAGAAUCAAAUUAGCCGUUUUGUUGUUGUUUGCUUCCUUCUUUCUCAUUAGGAGUCUUGAGAUGGACACAUUAUCAGUAAAGGACUUAAAUUUUGCUUAUAUGGACCUAGGUUUUGUCAUUGUAUCUUAGCAAAGUUCUUUUAGGGAUCUUAAAAGUUAUAUCAGAAACUAUUCUUAAUAGUAUGGGAACAUUACGGUAGAAAUGCAAAAUCAGAUGAUAGAUAUUCACUCAGGGCACAAACACCAUACCACAUACACACACACACACACAAACACACACACCAGGAGGUUUUGUGUACUUAUUUUCUCCAAUAUCUGGUCAUAGUGUCGGUUAACUGGUAGAUGAGAACAAAAAGGUACUUAUGCAGGUUAAUUGGUGAUUAAGGAAAACUGUUAGAGUGUUUCUUAGUGAAUUUCUGUCAUUUGCAAAGUAUUUUAGGCUGGAUGGAACCUUGCAAGCCUUCAAGCUUAUGAAACAACAACUCAUGGUUAUUAAGAGCAAAAUGCCCUAGAGAGAUUAAUCUGUGCUAUCCCAACAAGCUGACCUUUUCCCAAAGACAUAGCAAUUUAAUUAUCUACUUUGAAAAGCACAAUUAUAGUAAAAUUCAAAACCAGAUUUAUAGACAGGUUUUAUAUUCUCAUCUAUAAUGCAUGUAAAUAAGAGUUUUUGGGGUUUCUCUUUUCUAGGUCUGUUAUGUGUUUUGUAAAUAUUAAGUGCUAAAUUGUUCUUGCUUUUAAAAUCAUGGACUUGUUUUUUGAUUAAACAUCUGCUGUUAGUAAAAAGAAUAUUUCAAAUUAUAGGUGUUUUAUAGUCUGUGUUCUAAAUUUCACACAUCACUUGCACUGUUUUAAACAGGUGCUUCUAUGGUCUGUUAACCUAAGGAACUUGACCUGGAUGGGAUUUCUGUUUAAAUACAAGCUGAUGAAAAUGAUGUCAUCUUUUAUUUUCUACUUAAUGAUGCUAUAUUUUAUCUUAUAGAAGCAUAAUGUAGAUAAUUCAUCAUAAGAUGAACUUAAAAUAUGGGCUUGAAAUGACAUAAAUUAUGCUUUUAGUCAGCUAAUCAGUUUCAAAUGUUUAUUGAAGAUCCUUCUAUCUGCCAUCAUAACCCCAACCAAUCAGAGAAGGGAGAUAUUUUGAAAGCACACACACAAACACACACACCCCAAAGGACAAGCCCGAGAUAUCAGUGCUUUUCUCUUUCUUUGUUUCUGUGUAUGUGUCUUGUGUACACUACAAUACUGACCACUGCUUGUUAGCCAUGUGCAAGGUCAAUGCCAACAGGGUUCUUGGAAAAUUUUUAUUUGAUCUUAUGAGGUAGCAUUCACAUUUCCCAAUGGCAAUAUGAGUGAUUGUUUUGUAUAACUGUAGCUAUUUAUGUUAAAAUGUAAAAGGGAAAUUUUAGAACUUUUUGAUUUAAUGAAACCUACUAUAGAAAUGCAAAGACAGCAGUGUAGAUAAGGAAAAUGUUGUAACCAGUGUUAAGGUCAUCAUUGUUAAAGAGAGAACAAGCCAAGAACCUGGCUCAACUGACACCAGAUGGUAGAGUACACUCAAGGGCCAAUGAGAUGUUAUGGCAAGUAAGAAAGAACAGAGAGAAUGAUGCUGUAGAAAUCAAUAAAAAAAAGACAGUAGUGUGCAAAGUCAUAGAGUCACAGUAAGCCUGAAACUAUCCUCUAUAGCUAAACACUGAACCAAUACUUAACAGCGUAUACCCAAGAGUUCCCUUACCACAUGUUAACACUGAAGACCAUCAAAGAGCUCCUCCUUCUGUGGUCACCCAAAGUUUUAUACAUAUGUUUGAAACAUACUGAUGUUGGAAACUAGACUCUAUGGGAAAAUGCAAAAAUACAAAGGUAAUAAAAUAUGUUCCUAGUUUUAUAGAUAUAUUAUCUAGCUGUAAGACGAAAAUGCAAAAACAGUGUAUGUUAAUUAUAUACCAAGACUGAACAAUGUUCCCUGGAAGAUGAUCUCAUCUAAGAGGCAUUUUCAAGGAGGUGAAAAAGCUUUCACGUUGAAAUCUCUGAAUAUUGAGAGCAUAUAAUGAGAAUCUAGAAUCAAUGAAAUAUUCCAGGAAGAAAAAUACAAUCUAGGUAUCAAUUUUCUUCCAUUUCUUCAUCAUACAAUACAUUCAAUAGUAUCAACUGAUUGAGAGAGUUGUUGUAGUUUCAGAAAGUCUUGAUUUAUGAUCAAGUAAUGCGAGAAAGCUGCUCCACAGGCAUAAAUGUCCCUUAUACGUUUGCCCCAGAAUGCAAAGUUUCAGUAUUAAAGGUAAAAAUUAAAAAGUGGUAAAAAUAGAUGAAAGGAAAUAAUCCAAUAUCGAUUUAGUUUGACCUUUUCAAAAAGUUAUUUAUGGAAUAUUUUAAAUACAUGGUAUAGAACAGAAUAGAAAACCCAGAAUUAAACCCACACACCUACAGUCAACUAAUCUAUGACAAAGGAGGCAAGAAUAUACAAUGGAGAAAAGACAGCCCCUUCAAUAAGUCCCUUUUUAAUACCAUACACGAAAAUAAACACAAAAUAGAUUAAAGACCUAAAUAUAAGACGGUAUAAUAUAAAACUCCUAGAAGAAAACAUAGGCUGAACACUCUCUGACAUAAACCACAGCAGUAUCUUCUCAGAUCCACCUCCUAGAGUAAUGACAACAAAAACAAAAAUAAGCAAAUGGGACCUAAUUAACUUAAAAGCUUUUGCAGAGCAAAGGAAACCCUAAACAAAAUGAAAAGACAACCCACAGAAUGGGAUAAAAUAUUUGCAAAUGAAGCAACUGACAAGGGAUUAAUCUCCAAAAUUUAUGAACAUCUCCUGUAGCUCAAUAUCAAAAAAACAAACAACCCCAUCAAAAAUGGGCAGAAGAGGAGUUCCCGUCAUGGCUCAGCAGAAAAGGAAUCUGACUAGUAUCCAUGAGGACAGAGGUUUAAUCCUUGGCCUUGCUCAGUGGGUUAAGGAUCUGGCAUUGCCAUGAACUGUGGUAUAAUUCACAGACACGGCUCAGAUACCGCAUUGUUGUGGCUGUGGCAUAGGCCAGUGGCUAUAGCUCCGAUUUGACCCCUAGCGUGGGAACCUCCAUAUGCUGUGGGUGUGGCCCUAAAU
RNAcentral lists this long non-coding RNA (3478 nucleotides) under Sus scrofa (pig). Its description in RNAcentral is "lncRNA (ENSSSCG00000056677.1)". The record is from RNAcentral. Lineage: Eukaryota; Metazoa; Chordata; Mammalia; Artiodactyla; Suidae.